Armigeres subalbatus is the source of this 694-nucleotide long non-coding RNA. RefSeq lists it as uncharacterized. The transcript is spliced from 3 exons. The record is from RefSeq and is a predicted model, not a curated record. Lineage: Eukaryota; Metazoa; Arthropoda; Insecta; Diptera; Culicidae.
GCAAAACCUGCAAAAUCGGAAAAAAAUUCUGUUGAACAAAAUCGAAUGGCUUUCCCGCGAUUUGAAAUCGAAUGGUUUUUCGUCGUCAAUAAAUACAUUCUCGGAAAAUAUUUGUGAUGCUGGAAACUUUCUCAAAAUACUCGGUCCGGAGAGGAAGUAGGUUUGGGAAAAAAAACAUCGUGGACACCGACUAUCGCUGCCAUCUAACCCUGAUGGCUUGAUUUAGGUGAUAAAGAGAUCUCCGCAAACAAUCGAGCUCCUGACGCUGUGUGACUUUGAGAAGAUGGUUGGACUGGACAUUCGUCAGUGUGAAAGUUAUUGAUACUUUCUCCCGCGAAGGAUAAUUCACUGAACGAGCUUGAAGUCGGUCGCAAAGCUGGUAGUAUUGGAUUCUCAGGAGCUGGAAAAGUGGAUUGAUAAUGGGAUCGGCAUUCAUUUGCACCAGUCAAUACGUUUUCGGGAUGUGCACCGAGGAGGAAAAAUCUGUUCCCACGCCAUUCGAGUCGUGAAAUUAGCUGCUUUUGCUCUCUUUAGCUUUUCAAAAAGGGAUCUUUUAUUGACGGCCAUAAUCGAUUGGAUCGACUGCUCUGAUUUAUUGAGCUACUUUAUUUGACUGGAUUGCUUUGAUUUAAUGGAUUGCUCCGAUUGAUUGACUAGCUUGGAUUGAAUGAGUUGUUUGUUGGUUUGAACUUAG